This 73-nucleotide transfer RNA is filed under the name Elymus magellanicus. Its description in RNAcentral is "tRNA-Cys". It matches the Rfam family "tRNA". From Rfam's summary of the family: Transfer RNA (tRNA) molecules are approximately 80 nucleotides in length. The record is from RNAcentral. Lineage: Eukaryota; Viridiplantae; Streptophyta; Magnoliopsida; Poales; Poaceae.
GGCGACAUGGCCGAGUGGUAAGGCAGAGGACUGCAAAUCCUUUUUUUCUCCAGUUCAAAUCCGGGUGUCGCCU